This 65-nucleotide transfer RNA is filed under the name Eubela sp. MNHN IM 2013-9671. Its description in RNAcentral is "tRNA-Trp". Lineage: Eukaryota; Metazoa; Mollusca; Gastropoda; Neogastropoda; Raphitomidae. The record is from RNAcentral.
AGGGUUUUAAGUUAACUAAACUAUAAGCCUUCAAAGCUUAAAAUAAGAAUUUUUUUUAAACCCUG